This 468-nucleotide ribosomal RNA is filed under the name uncultured bacterium. RNAcentral describes it as "partial 16S ribosomal RNA". It matches the Rfam family "Bacterial small subunit ribosomal RNA", at positions 28 to 507 of the family's 1533-position model. The record is from RNAcentral.
GACGAACGCUGGCGGCGUGCUUAACACAUGCAAGUCGAACGGAAAGGCCCUGCUUUUGUGGGGUGCUCGAGUGGCGAACGGGUGAGUAACACGUGAGUAACCUGCCCUUGACUUUGGGAUAACUUCAGGAAACUGGGGCUAAUACCGGAUAGGAGCUCCUGCUGCAUGGUGGGGGUUGGAAAUUUUCGGCGGUUGGGGAUGGAUUCGCGGCUUAUCAGCUUGUUGGUGGGGUAGUGGCUUACCAAGGCUUUGACGGGUAGCCGGCCUGGGAGGGUGACCGGGGACAAGGGGACUAAGGGACGGAGCAGACGCGAACGGGAGGCAGCAGUGGGGAAUAUGACACAAUGGGGGGAAGCGUGAUGCAGAAACGCCGGGGGCGGGAUGACGGCCUUCGGGUUGUAAACCGCUUUCGCCUGUGACGAAGCGGGAGUGACGGUAAUGGGUAAAGAAGCACCGGCUAACUACGUG